AUAACAGGGUCUGUGAUGCCUUAGAUGUUCUGGGCCGCACGCGCGCUACACUGACGGAGCCAGCGAGUAAUUCCUUGGCCGGAAGGCCCGGGUAAUCUUGUUAAACUCCGUCGUGCUGGGGAUAGAGCAUUGCAAUUAUUGCUCUUCAACGAGGAAUCCCUAGUAAGCGCAAGUCAUCAGCUUGCGUUGAUUACGUCCCUGCCCUUUGUACACACCGCCCGUCGCUACUACCGAUUGAAUGGCUCAGUGAGGCGUCCGGACUGGCCCAGGGAGGUGGGCAACUACCACCCAGGGCCGGAAAGCUCUCCAAACUCGGUCAUUUAGAGGAAGUAAAAGUCGUAACAAGGUCUCCGUUGGUGAACCAGCGGAGGGAUCAUUAUCGAGUUCUGAAAAAACUCCCAACCCCUGUGAACUAUACCUGUAACUGUUGCUUCGGCGGGACUUGUGCCCGCCGGGGGACCCAAACCUUCUGAAUUUUUUAAGUAUCUUCUGAGUGGUAAAAAAAAAUGAAUCAAAACUUUCAACAACGGAUCUCUUGGUUCUGGCAUCGAUGAAGAACGCAGCGAAAUGCGAUAAGUAAUGUGAAUUGCAGAAUUCAGUGAAUCAUCGAAUCUUUGAACGCACAUUGCGCCCGCCAGUAUUCUGGCGGGCAUGCCUGUUCGAGCGUCAUUACGCCCCUCAAGUCCCCUGCGGACUUGGUGUUGGGGAUCGGCGAGCGCUGUUUGCUCAGCACGCCGUCCCCGAAAUUCAUUGGCGGUCUCGCCGUGGCCCUCCUCUGCGCAGUAGUAAAACACUCGCAACAGGAGCCCGGUGAGGUCCACUGCCGUAAAACCCCCGACUUUUUACAGUUGACCUCGGAAUCAGGUAGGACUACCCGCUGAACUUAAGCAUAUCAAUAAGCGGAGGAAAAGAAACCAACAGGGAUUGCCCCAGUAACGGCGAGUGAAGCGGCAACAGCUCAAAUUUGAAAUCUGGUCCCCAGGGCCCGAGUUGUAAUUUGCAGAGGAUGCUUUUGGUGAGGUGCCUUCCGAGUUCCCUGGAACGGGACGCCAUAGAGGGUGAGAGCCCCGUCUGGUUGGACGCCGAGCCUCUGUAAAGCUCCUUCGACGAGUCGAGUAGUUUGGGAAUGCUGCUCUAAAUGGGAAGGUAUAUGUCUUCUAAAGCUAAAUAUUGGGCCAGAGACCGUAAAGCGCACAAA
Molecule: ribosomal RNA, 1198 nt
Filed under: Metarhizium anisopliae
Lineage: Eukaryota; Fungi; Ascomycota; Sordariomycetes; Hypocreales; Clavicipitaceae
Description: eukaryotic LSU rRNA
Rfam family: Eukaryotic small subunit ribosomal RNA (bases 1-379)
Source: RNAcentral